CCUGCGGGGGGCAGCAGUGGGGAAUAUUGGACAAUGGGGGGAACCCUGAUCCAGCCAUGCCGCGUGUGUGAAGAAGGCCCUCGGGUUGUAAAGCACUUUCAGUGAGGAAGAACGCCUGGUGGUUAAUACCCAUCAGGAAAGACAUCACUCACAGAAGAAGCACCGGCUAACUCCGUGCCAGCAGCCGCGGUAAUACGGAGGGUGCGAGCGUUAAUCGGAAUUACUGGGCGUAAAGCGCGCGUAGGUGGCUUGAUAAGCCGGUUGUGAAAGCCCCGGGCUCAACCUGGGAACGGCAUCCGGAACUGUCAAGCUAGAGUGCAGGAGAGGAAGGUAGAAUUCCCGGUGUAGCGGUGAAAUGCGUAGAGAUCGGGAGGAAUACCAGUGGCGAAGGCGGCCUUCUGGACUGACACUGACACUGAGGUGCGAAAGCGUGGGUAGCAAACAGGAUUAGAUACCCUGGUAGUC
This 465-nucleotide ribosomal RNA is filed under the name Vreelandella stevensii. Its description in RNAcentral is "partial 16S ribosomal RNA". It matches the Rfam family "Bacterial small subunit ribosomal RNA", at positions 338 to 795 of the family's 1533-position model. The record is from RNAcentral. Lineage: Bacteria; Pseudomonadati; Pseudomonadota; Gammaproteobacteria; Oceanospirillales; Halomonadaceae.